GACGAACGCUGGCGGCGUGCCUAAUACAUGCAAGUAGAACGCAGUUGCGAACGGGUGAGUAACGCGUAGGUAACUGCCUCAUAGCGGGGGAUAACAAUUGGAAACGAUAGCUAAUACCGCAUACUGAGCGAUGGACCGGCGUUGUAUUAGCAAGUUGGUGAGGUAAAGGCUCACCAAGGCAACGAUACAUAGCCGACCUGAGAGGGUGUUCGGCCAAACGUGUACUGAGAAACGGCCCAGACUCCGUCGGGAGGCAGCAGUAGGGAAACUUCGGAAAUUGACGGAAGUCUGACCGAGCAACGCCGCGUGGGUGAAGAAGGUUUUCGGAUUGUAAAGCUAUGUUGUUAGAGAAGCGGUAACUACCCAGAAAGGGACGGCUAACUACGUGCCAGCAGCCGCGGUAAUUC
This 407-nucleotide ribosomal RNA is filed under the name uncultured bacterium. RNAcentral's name for it is "partial 16S ribosomal RNA". It matches the Rfam family "Bacterial small subunit ribosomal RNA", at positions 28 to 526 of the family's 1533-position model. The record is from RNAcentral.